Molecule: non-coding RNA, 135 nt
Organism: Brachypodium distachyon (stiff brome)
Lineage: Eukaryota; Viridiplantae; Streptophyta; Magnoliopsida; Poales; Poaceae
Source: Rfam
ACUGUACCCCUUCCGUCCAACAAAAGAUGUCUCAAAUUUGUCAAAAUUUAGAUGUAUCUAGACAUGACUUCGUGUAUAGAUGCAUUCAAAUUUAGGUAAAGUUGAAACAUCCUGUGUUGGACGGAGAAAUAUAAU